AGCAGCCGCGGUAAUUCCAGCUCCAAUAGCGUAUAUUAAAGUUGUUGCAGCUAAAAAGCUCGUAGUUGAAUUUCGGGAUCAGUUGAUCGGUCGUGCCUCGGUACGUACUAGUCAAAUUGAUUCCUACCUUCUGACGAACCACGAUGUCAUUAAUUUGGUGUCGCGGGAAAUCAGGACUGUUACUUUGAAAAAAUUAGAGUGUUUAAAGCAGGCUCGCGCUUGAAUACAUUAGCAUGGAAUAAUGAAAUAGGACGUUUGAUUCUAUUUUGUUGGUUUCUAGGAUCGACGUAAUGAUUAAUAGGGAUAGUUGGGGGCAUUAGUAUUCAAUUGUCAGAGGUGAAAUUCUUGGAUUUAUUGAAGACUAACUACUGCGAAAGCAUUUGCCAAGGAUGUUUUCAUUAAUCAAGAACGAAAGUUAGGGGAUCGAAGACGAUCAGAUACCGUCGUAGUCUUAACCAUAAACUAUGCCGACUAGGGAUCGGAUGAUGUUAAUUUUUUAAUGACUCAUUCGGCGCCUUAC
Molecule: unclassified non-coding RNA, 520 nt
Filed under: uncultured Glomus
Lineage: Eukaryota; Fungi; Glomeromycota; Glomeromycetes; Glomerales; Glomeraceae
Description: SSU rRNA
Rfam family: Eukaryotic small subunit ribosomal RNA
Source: RNAcentral